UAGGAUAUCAAUUAAUUGGGUAAUAACGAAUUAUCUGAAACCCAAAGAAAUUGGCGGUGCCCCACACACUUGGAGGAAUCUGUUACAUAAUCUGAUAAUCCGCAGCUUAUCUUACCUCACUUUCUACUUGCACAUCGCCAUUUUAAGAGUAUGCUCAAAGGGAUACUCUAACCCAAUUACAUCCCUAAAAUUAGGUCGACAUACAGUUAUAGUGAGGACGUGAUGGAUUACAAUACCAUUUAGGUACAACGAAUGGCCUAGAGAAACUAGCCCUGAAGGUGGAUUCAAUAGUAAUAUAAGAGUAGAGUGCUUAUAUGAAUAGUUUCUGGGACAUGU
Molecule: ribosomal RNA, 336 nt
Filed under: Diplocentrus peloncillensis
Lineage: Eukaryota; Metazoa; Arthropoda; Arachnida; Scorpiones; Diplocentridae
Description: partial 12S ribosomal RNA
Rfam family: Bacterial small subunit ribosomal RNA
Source: RNAcentral